Non-coding RNA from Pogona vitticeps (central bearded dragon), 2998 nucleotides. Lineage: Eukaryota; Metazoa; Chordata; Lepidosauria; Squamata; Agamidae. The record is from RefSeq and is a predicted model, not a curated record.
AAACGAGGAACUAUUUAUCAAUCUAUCGAUCCGUUAAUUAAUACUCCGCCUGCAGGUGGAAUCCCCGCGGGCCAGCCAAUCAGGGGCGGUUUGCUCACAAAGGGGUCCGAUUGUCUGCGCGGAAUUCUCCGCGGGCCGCGUUCUAGGAAGCGAGGCGCCGAAAAGGAAGCGGCGGAGUCAGCGAGGCAUCAAACGGGAGAGAUCCGCAACCAUCCUUUUUUUGUUUUUGUAAUCUCGGCCGAGGAGUCGCUGCCGCUGGUCUGUUGAUUUUCGGAGGGUCUCCGUAAUCAGGAAGUCGGAGAGGAGAGUUUACCUGGGCGCAAAGUUACGCGCCAGGCGGAAAACGCGGUCAGCCUUGCUGGAGAGAAAAGAAACAGAAGGCGCCCAGGGGUUGAUAUCCGGAGGAAAGGGAGGACUCACACUUUGCUUUGACAAGGAUCAGCCAGUUUCCUUUAGCACAAACCUCCACCAUUAAUAGGAGAGAACAUGAAGGCAAUGCGCCGAAGAGGGUCCCUUGCUAGGAGUGAGUGCUCUGACUACACGGAGAAAGAAAAGGAGGUGAUGGCUGAAGUUGAGUUAAGGAAACUGCAGCAACAGUUUCGGAUCAUGGUGGAGAGCCGGAAGUCUUCUGGAGUCAAGACUCAACAGCUGUUGUUCCAGCAGGGUAAACAAAUCAGUGCCUUGAAGCAAGAGUACGAUGAGAUAAAUUUACUCCUGAGUCUCACCAAGUCACCCCGGAACAUCUUCAUAGAUGAGCAGAACUGCACGGAGCUCAAAUACCUUCUGCAGACCAAAGAUGAAUACGACGCUCUCAUUGCCGCCACCAAGGCCUUGAUUGUUGAACUUGACAGUAAGGUAAUGGAACUGGAGGAUAAGAUUAAAAAGCAAAAAGUGCUUGUGAUCAAACUGAGGCAGGAAUACGACGGGAAAUGGCUCCAGAAGCAGAUCCAGCUGCUGGAUAACCGGCUCAACCAUGUGACCGUUUAUUUUGAUACCGUGUUGACCACAAAUGCCAGGCUUCGUGAAGAGAUAGGGAACCUCCAGUGCCAGAAGUCGGUCUUUGACCAUAUCUAUUCACAGCUCCACAAGAAGCUGGAGCAACAGAAGAAGACCAUGGACGUGUCCAUCGAGCAGUCGACGCAAGCCUAUGAGCAAAGGGUUGAAUCGCUUGCGAGGAUUGCUGCUAUGAAGGAACGGCGCUGCAAGGACAUUGCGCAGUUCAACAUUGAAUAUCGCGAGCUGGAACGCAUCUACAACCACGAGACAAAGCUGAAGGCGUUUAUGUACAUCAAGCUGAUAGACCGUUCAGAAAUCGAGGAGGAAGCAAAAAAGAAAGAAGCUCUCAAGGCCAGUAAGCGGGCCAAGACCAAGGGAGAGAGCUUUGAGAGCUACGAGGUGGCCUACAUGCGUCUGCUGAAGCUGACAGAAAAUGGCAACAUUGACGGGCUGGUGGAGGACUUCAUCGAGAAGGAAGAGAAGAACUUUGCCUUCUUCAGCUACGUCACUGAACUCAACAAUGACAUGGAGCGGCUGCAGAAGAACAUCGAGGAUGUCCAGAAUGAAAUCACCCAGCUGAAACUUGAACAGCAGAAGAGCACAGACAUCAUACACGGCCACAUGAAGGAACUAGAGGAGAAACUGCAGAAAACGACAGAAGAUGCCAAUGCGUACGAGUACAAACUGAAGGAAAGCAGCAAAAUCCUGGACCAGCUGAAAUCCGCGGUGGACUUCCUGUUCAAGCAGACGGGCUGUGACGCCACCAAGAUCAGAGAGCACCUGGGCGAGACCGGGGAAAUCACGGAUCAGAACCUGAUGCAGUAUUUCAGUAUUGUUGAGAAGAAAAGCAACGACCUUCUGCUGAUCGAAUCUUUCUUACGCUACAAGGAGGUAGAGGGGGAGCUGGACACUGUACCGAUGCUGAAUCCAUUUUUGGGAGGUUCUGCCUUGCUGAAAAAGCUGGAACCCAUUAAAAUUGCUCCCCCAGCCAUCAGCCUGGAUCCUUUUGCGGACAUUCUGGAGCCGUUGGAGGGACCUUUAAACCAUGAAAAUCUCCGUGCCAUGGUUCUGGAGAAUUUGGAAAAAGAAAAAUCCAGGAAGAGCUCCUUCGACAGAAUCGAUAACAGCUUCCGGGAGAAGAAGAAACCACUGACACCAUAGAUGUAGAGAGAAACGGGUGCAAGAGGGUGCUGGGUGUGAAGAACUGUGUUUUUUUUUUUUAACGCUCACUUUGUUUAGAAAUAUGCUUUGUACAAAAUCCAGAAAGGUUUCUCAAGGUGGACUGUUUUAUAUACCUGUAGUGCUAAAGAAAUUAUAAAUAAAGAAGGUUGUUUGAGCCUUCCGUUCCUACAGCCUGCCCUUACUUACUCUCCAUUGAAAAGGAUGUUCCCCAAAUUCUUGGCAAUGUUUUUAUUCAGCUGUGAAAAGUUAAUGUAAUUUUUUGUGGACUACAACUCCCAUAACCCCCCCCCCCCCAGUCACUUUGCUGGCUAGGAGAUUCUUGGAGGUGUGGUUUGAAGGAAUUAUGUUUCCAUUCUAUAAUUUGAUUACAGCUUUUCCCAAUUUGGAGAUGUGUAGAUACACUGGACUAUAAUGUGCAUCGCCCUCCAAGAGUGAUGGGAGUUGUAGUCUCCUCCUCUGCAUGGCACCAAGAAAGCUGUUCUACUGUCUUAUUUGUGUUUUCCUAUCUGCUGAGGAAUGAGUGUCAUCCGUUUACAUCUUUUGUGGCGUUUAUUUGAUGCAUUUUAAGUGUAUCUCUUGAUCCAAAUUCUUCUCUGACAGAGCUAUUUCAGGAUUUGGGUGCGAGUGCUCAGAGGUGGAGCCUUUCCUCUCUAACAACACAUGAAUGGCAAAGGGCAGACCUGUGAGAUGAUGGGCGUUGUAGUGGCCACUCGAUUGAGGAAAGAUGGCAAGCAUCCUCGCUGGAUAGCCCCGUCCCACCAUCCCUUUCAGAAACCUCCAAGGUCACCCACACCAGUGUUGCAACAUGGAAUAGUUUAGA